Molecule: ribosomal RNA, 253 nt
Filed under: uncultured bacterium
Lineage: Bacteria
Description: partial 16S ribosomal RNA
Rfam family: Bacterial small subunit ribosomal RNA
Source: RNAcentral
UACGAAGGGGGCUAGCGUUGCUCGGAAUCACUGGGCGUAAAGGGCGCGUAGGCGGCCAUUCAAGUCGGGGGUGAAAGCCUGUGGCUCAACCACAGAAUUGCCUUCGAUACUGUUUGGCUUGAGUCUGGUAGAGGUUGGUGGAACUGCGAGUGUAGAGGUGAAAUUCGUAGAUAUUCGCAAGAACACCGGUGGCGAAGGCGGCUCACUGGCCCGAUACUGACGCUGAGGCACGAAAGCGUGGGGAGCAAACAGG